Monodelphis domestica (gray short-tailed opossum) is the source of this 635-nucleotide long non-coding RNA. RefSeq lists it as uncharacterized. NCBI's taxonomy places the organism in Eukaryota, Metazoa, Chordata, Mammalia, Didelphimorphia, Didelphidae. The record is from RefSeq and is a predicted model, not a curated record.
UCCCUCCUCUGCUUGUCCAAGAUGAAAGUUUCUUUCUUUCUUUUUUUUUUCACGCAGUAGAGCCAAACAAUUGUGCAAGAGGAGCCGCAGCAUGCAGGGCGCGUAUCACCAAGUGCAUGGUACAGAGACACCGGCUCCUGUGAUUAAUUAUCAGUUAUUACUGGCCUCGCAGUAACAUUUCAGCUUUCCCGUCAGAACCAGCAUACCAAGCUGCCUUAAACGUGGCCCCUGAUGGAGGAGCAGCACUGGGGAGGACGCCAAGGCACAGCUCCGCAGAAACACUUGAGUGUUAAAGAAUACCUGGACUGGUUUUCCCCUCAGACAAUGGAUCCUAGAAUAAGAGGUGACCCUGGCAGUCAAAGGACCAGCCAUUUCAACAUCUGGGAACUGAAGCCAGAACCUCAUAUAGACAUCGGGGGUGGGGGGCAAGGCUGUAGCCAAAAAUGAAGGCAAGACAUGUAGGAUCAUCCCUAAGAGCAUUCCUGAUGUUUUAUUAGCCAAAACUGCACUAGACACGGAGUGCUCACUCAUGUUCCCUGAGAAGAAAUCAACUUCACAGCAAAUUUCUGAUAAAAAGACAUUGGUACACCCAAAUUUGAACAGAAUUGAUACUCAAUAAAGGAGUUCUUAAAUCA